UUUAAUUUUACACACAUUUAAAAUCAACCAAUGAAGAGAAGCUGGAUUUUAUGAGGUAAUUAUUUGUGAAUGUCAUUAUUGUGUUUGGUGUUUCAGCAAAGGAAAAUAUCACGGUUCUUGGUCAGUCCUGUCAUUGAAGGGUCCACUGCGGCAUCAUCAGACGUUCAACCAACUGUCUCUGUUCCUGGAUCAGCUGCAACUCCGGCCCAAGAGCAGUCGGAAACAGAAUUAGCAUCCUGCAGUCUGGAUUCCCCGAGUGAUCAGACAACAUCAUCAACUCGUCAUAGUGACUUUGGUACAAGCGGUAAUGAAUUCAUGAGUGAAAGUAGCACUGUCUCAUCACCAAUGACUCAGCUCUCUCCAGAGUCAACAUUGCACAGUAAUUUAUUGGGUAAAAUUGUCCACCAAAAUUCAAACGAUAGCAGUGGACUUGGAGGUCCACAGACCAUUGCUGACCUGCAACAGAAGCUACAUCAGUUGACAUCGCAGCCAUCAGAAUUGUCAUUGAGUGGCACUCCACCAUCGCAUCCGGCAACGCCUCACAAUCACUUACAGUCACAGAACCAUGCAACAUCCAUUCAGACCCUUCAUGAAAAGCUUACCUCUAUCUCCAUGACAAAUUCACAACCCCUGGGUCCUUUAUCACCACAAAGCACGCUUCACUGCAUUCCCUCAAAUCAUCCUCCUCUAACAGCAGCUAUCGAAGUAUAUCAGAAUGCCAUUUUAUCGGAGGGCAUUGCUGUUAUGCAACAACCCUAUCUAGUCCAUUCUGUUGCCCCUACCUCGGACUCACAGCCGGUCACAAGUCAAAAUCAGCAACAGUACACGGUUCAAACGACCAUCGCUCCCGUCUUCGUUCAGCCUCUCCCGAGUAAUUUCCAAUCGGCUGAACUACCGCAGUAUGCUCAGUCCACGCCCAUGCUGUUCCAUCCGAUUCCAGCCGAUAGAAGUCAACUAACUCCGAAGGAAUCUCAAGAAACUACUCAGCAUGCAACGCCUAUCUUGCUUCGCCCAAUCACCGCUAGUGAGGGCAGUUCUAGUCAGCUCUUCAUGUCGCCAGCAACAUCUGAAUCAGAGAAGAAGUCUCCUAUUCAGCAUGUUCUUGUCCAGAAACUUGCGACAUCAGAGUCGAGCUCACCACAAUACAUUUAUCAACCUGUCAUGCAGCAGCCAAUCAUUCCAGGUCGAUUCAUGAUGGCAACCACACCGGUGCCUCAGUCCUCUGGCAACCCUGACCUCAAGAGUCCAUUGACUCAAGUAACAGUCCAACCAGUCGUCGUCCAUGAAACUCCUCUAGUCAUGCAGUCGGUUUCUCUACCAAGUGAACAUGCAAACUGUGCUUCGGGUGAAUCAUCAACUGCUGUCUAUCCUGAAAAAUCAGUCAUCCAGCCAAUGUCUAUAAUCACACACCCAAGUGUCAUCACAAGAACACCCGGAUCCCACGCAGAUGACAUUCAUGAAGAAAAGAAAUUGAAUAAAACGCUGGCAGAUUUACAUUAUCUAGAAAUUGAAUUAAACAAAAUUCAUGGUCCUGGAUCAGAAAAAAGUCGGCAUCGUAAAGAUGGUCACAGCACAGGUCAAUCGACACCAGUAACUUCGUCUAGCACACCGGCAACCUCCAGUUUUCAGGGAGAAAUUAUGCAGGAAAUAGAUGCAUCUAAAGAGAGGCUUGACAGUCACCAAUCAGAAAGUAAAGUUGGUAGCCAAUCAGAAGAUGAAACAUCGCAGCGAGAAAUCAGACGAGGACGCUUUAGUGUUGUGGUGCGACCAGAUUCCCUCAUUCAAAACAAUUAUGGUUCAGACCAGAGCAGCCAAGUUAAUACCAGGGACGACACUACAACAAGUAAUAGUGAAAGCAAUAAUCAGUCGGUGCCCACCUCGAUUAGUCCACGUAAUAGGCGCUCGCCCACCUGUGACAUUUACCGAGCAGCAAGCACUCAGACAUUCCCCUCACCAUUUGUUAAUCCAGAAAUUGAGUGCGAGUCAUCUAUUCGUCGAAAAAUCAGCAUCCAGUCCAACCCAUGCUGCAGCACAAUUCUGGAGUCCGUUUAUCAACCUGAUAUGCGCCGUGCUCAAAGUGGGAUGAACCUUUCAAACGAAAGUCAGCGAAAGAUCUCUGUGGACAGUUGUGGCUUUCCAUCAGUGUCGCAGCAAAGACAAAGGAAGACAGGCCUCCUUGGUGUCAAAUCUUUACAGCAGGAAGCACCAACAACCGAGCAUGCACAGGUAGGUCAACAGAGACGAAGAGACUGUGAGCAGUUGAAACGAUGGCCGAGCGAUAAUGUUUUGAACAACUACACCAACUCUGAGCAAGCAUUGCUGUUCCGCUCAAGAAAGAACAGCUACGGUUCGAAAGUAUGCAUGCUGCGGCAGGCUUCAGCAAUUGAGCCACGGGAUAUCCUUCGGGCAAAAAUCCGAGAAGCAAAAAGCAUGGUUGAUAUAAAUAAUGAAAACUACUUGGUUAAAGACAAACCCAUUUAUGACCAGUUCUUUUCAAACCAUGAGGUUUACCACACAGUGCAUGGUGGCUACUUACACAAAAGAGUCCCGAAUCAAGAUCUACCCUCCAAGUACGAGCUAGUCUGUGGUAAAAAUUGCUGUGUCGAUCGGACACGGGAUGUGUCGAAAGUUAAUGCAAGUCAGUUUGAGGGAUGGGCAUAUCCAGAUUCUCUUUUGCCACAUUUUGCGUCAUUCAAAACGCGGAGCUGGAAUGAUUUGUCACGCUACUCUAAAGACUCAGGGUUUGAUUCUCUGACUUUCUCUUCUCAUCAAGCACCAGAUGAUAAAUUCUCAACAACACCAGUUAAUUACCCAAUUAAGAACCUGCAGUAUUGGCAGCCAAAGAAGAUGCAACGGCAUGAACCUGGGUCAAGUUUUGGCCAUCCUAGUCCUAAACAGUCGUACGAAGAAUUAUUAUCAAAUCUUCUUCACAGACAAAGGCUGGAGCUUGAAUCAUUGAGGCGCAAGCAUCAAGAGGAAAUUGAGGCAUUAUCACAGCAAAUGGAAUCGGAUUACCCAAUGUCUCCUCCUCCGCAGUAUGCCUCACGGCCAAUGGCUUUACUGUAUCAAACGCUUACUCCUAUUUCUGUGCCAUCUUCUUCAAGAAGUGGACAAGGUAGCCUGGAGGGCUACAGUACUGCACCCCAAAGUCCCACUGAAUCUUGUCCCAAUUCUGCGAAUGAUUUUGCAACGCAUACAUCAAGUCAGCCAAGUGUCAUUCAGUAUGCGCGCGGCUCAGCAUUUUAUCUACAGCCUGCGGCACUCCGCUUUGUUUAUGACUCUCCAUCCCACUGUGCCCCUUCAGAUUUGCCUGAGCAUGAGCCAAGGUAA
Molecule: long non-coding RNA, 3330 nt
Filed under: Bemisia tabaci
Lineage: Eukaryota; Metazoa; Arthropoda; Insecta; Hemiptera; Aleyrodidae
Description: lncRNA ENSSSA2NGG001103
Source: RNAcentral